UACGAAGGGGGCGAGCGUUGUUCGGAAUUACUGGGCGUAAAGCGCGCGUAGGCGGCUUUGUAAGUUAGAGGUGAAAGCCCGGGGCUCAACCCCGGAAUUGCCUUUAAGACUGCAUCGCUUGAAUCCGGGAGAGGUGAGUGGAAUUCCGAGUGUAGAGGUGAAAUUCGUAGAUAUUCGGAAGAACACCAGUGGCGAAGGCGGCUCACUGGACCGGCAUUGACGCUGAGGUGCGAAAGCGUGGGGAGCAAACAGG
This 253-nucleotide ribosomal RNA is filed under the name uncultured bacterium. RNAcentral's name for it is "partial 16S ribosomal RNA". It matches the Rfam family "Bacterial small subunit ribosomal RNA", at positions 524 to 776 of the family's 1533-position model. The record is from RNAcentral.